This 453-nucleotide ribosomal RNA is filed under the name uncultured bacterium. RNAcentral describes it as "bacterial SSU rRNA". It matches the Rfam family "Bacterial small subunit ribosomal RNA", at positions 297 to 765 of the family's 1533-position model. The record is from RNAcentral.
AGGAUGAUCAGCCACACUGGGACUGAGACACGGCCCAGACUCCUACGGGAGGCAGCAGUGGGGAAUAUUGGACAAUGGGCGAAAGCCUGAUCCAGCAAUGCCGCGUGAGUGAAGAAGGUCUUCGGAUUGUAAAGCUCUUUCGACGGGGACGAUGAUGACGGUACCCGUAGAAGAAGCCCCGGCUAACUUCGUGCCAGCAGCCGCGGUAAUACGAAGGGGGGCUAGCGUUGCUCGGAAUGACUGGGCGUAAAGGGCGCGUAGGCGGUUUGGACCGUCAGAUGUGAAAUUCCCGGGGCUCAACCUGGGGGCUGCAUUUGAUACGUCCAGACUAGAGUGAGGAAGAGGGUUGUGGAAUUCCCAGUGUAGAGGUGAAAUUCGUAGAUAUUGGGAAGAACACCGGUGGCGAAGGCGGCAACCUGGUCCUUGACUGACGCUGAGGCGCGAAAGCGUGGG